ACACAGACACUCCCACACAAAAUCCUCCCCUCUGUCUGUGACAAAAUUACCUUACACAAUGGGUAAUCUAAUUAUCACAAACAGAGAAAUACAGUUUCAUAAAACACAUCACAGGGACCCCAAAACAUGCAAUAACCCCAUAUAUCCUUGGAACCGGGGGAUCUGGGUGAACCACCUAUCCAAAAUUCCCCCAGAUCCGUUCAGUACUUUGGAAGAUACAGUUUAAUGCAGAUUCUGCAGAACAUAUACAGGCUAAAUGAAAAACAAUCACUGUAUAAUGUGUCCCCUGCUGUAUAGUCCAAAAUCACUGCACGAUGUCUCUGUGCACCAAAUACUGGCGAGAUGGCACCGUGUUGAAAAGUCCAAACAGUGUCUGUGAGUUAAAAUGGCCGCCAUCCAUUGUUCUCACCAUGUGCUUCUGAUACAGGAAAUGGUGGCCACCCAGUGACUCCACAGUAUGUCCCCAGAUGGUUCUUAAAGGGCCAGCAGCAGCACAACACAAAUCCAUUAUGCCCAAAUCAUGUCUUUAAAGGGCAAUACAUCCCAGGGGCCAUAGUCACAUGGCAGGAGGCU
Pelobates cultripes (western spadefoot toad) is the source of this 573-nucleotide non-coding RNA. The record is from the annotation of a GenBank genome assembly. Lineage: Eukaryota; Metazoa; Chordata; Amphibia; Anura; Pelobatidae.